RNAcentral lists this signal recognition particle RNA (268 nucleotides) under Paenibacillus protaetiae. RNAcentral describes it as "Bacterial large signal recognition particle RNA". It matches the Rfam family "Bacterial large signal recognition particle RNA". From Rfam's summary of the family: The signal recognition particle (SRP) is a universally conserved ribonucleoprotein involved in the co-translational targeting of proteins to membranes. Archaeal SRP consists of a 7S RNA and homologues of the eukaryotic SRP19 and SRP54 proteins. The record is from Rfam by way of RNAcentral. Lineage: Bacteria; Bacillati; Bacillota; Bacilli; Caryophanales; Paenibacillaceae.
CCGUGCUAGAUGGGGAGGUAGCGGUGCCCUGUAACUCGCAAUCCGCUGUAGCGAGGUUGAAUUCCUGCUUGAGGUCAUGCCGAUGUAGGGUCUGGCAUUUGCGAAUAGUGUUGACAGUCGGGUCCUCCGCAAUGGACGCUUGUGAACCCGGUCAGGUCCGGAAGGAAGCAGCCGUAAGCAAGUUAGUUCAUGUGCCGGGGGAGUGCCUGACUCGAGCUAGGGUGCAAAGAUGCCGCCUGGAUCGCUUGAAUCAAGAGCAGGUGCACGG